AACGAACGCUGGCGGCAGGCUUAACACAUGCAAGUCGAGCGCCCCGCAAGGGGAGCGGCAGACGGGUGAGUAACACGUGGGAACCUUCCUAGAGGUACGGAACAACUCAGGGAAACUUGAGCUAAUACCGUAUACGCUCUUGCGAGGAAAGAUUUAUCGCCUUUAGACGGGCCCGCUUCGGAUUAGCUAGUUGGUGGGGUAACGGCCUCCCAAGGCGACGAUCCGUAGCGGAUCUGAGAGGAUGAUCAGCCCCACUGGGACUGAGAUACGGCCCAGACGCCUACGGGAGGCAGCGGUGGGGAAUCUUGGACAAUGGGCGCAAGCCUGAUCCAGCCAUGCCGCGUGAGUGAAGAAGGCCUUCAGGUUGUAAAGCUCUUUUGCCAGGGACGAUAAUGACGGUACCUGGAGAAUAAGCCCCGGCAAACUUCGUGCCAGCAGCCGCGGUAA
Molecule: ribosomal RNA, 447 nt
Filed under: uncultured bacterium
Lineage: Bacteria
Description: partial 16S ribosomal RNA
Rfam family: Bacterial small subunit ribosomal RNA
Source: RNAcentral